This 641-nucleotide ribosomal RNA is filed under the name Fevansia aurantiaca. RNAcentral describes it as "eukaryotic LSU rRNA". The stretch from base 215 to 368 matches the Rfam family "5.8S ribosomal RNA". Lineage: Eukaryota; Fungi; Basidiomycota; Agaricomycetes; Russulales; Albatrellaceae. The record is from RNAcentral.
CUGCGGAAGGAUCAUUAACGAAAGCUCGAGCGAGGUUGUAGCUGGCUCACCCUCUCCGGGGGAGCAACGUGCACGCUUCGUCUUCGUCUUCUUCAUCUCUCACCCCUGUGCACCUCCGCGUGGGUCCCGUUAGUUCGGGCCCACGUCCUUUUUCCAUGAAAAACACGCAUGUCAUAAGAACGUCUUACUUCGCCUUUAGAAGCGAAACCAGUACAACUUUCAACAACGGAUCUCUUGGCUCUCGCAUCGAUGAAGAACGCAGCGAAAUGCGAUAAGUAAUGUGAAUUGCAGAAUUCAGUGAAUCAUCGAAUCUUUGAACGCACCUUGCGCCCCUUGGUAUUCCGAGGGGCACGCCUGUUUGAGUAUCGUGAAAUUCUCAACCCUCACCCCUUUUCGGAGUCGGUGAAGGGCUUGGACUUUGGAGGUCUUGCCGGGUCCCUUGGUGGAAUCGGCUCCUCUCGAAUGCAUUAGCGGGGCUCGCUCGUCCUCUAUCGGACUGCCCUUUGGUGUGAUAAUUCAUCAGCACCGAUCGGGCGUUCGUGACUUUAGAAGGAUGGCCUCUGCUUCCAACCGUCUCGUUUCAGAGACCAAGCGCCGUUUCGACGACGAAACCUUUUGAUCUCAAAUCAGGCGGGACUACC